GAUUGUGGCUCAGUGGUAGAGCGAUGGCCUAGCAUGUGGGAGUCGCUGGGUUCGAUCCUCAGCACCA
This 67-nucleotide transfer RNA is filed under the name Marmota monax (woodchuck). Its description in RNAcentral is "tRNA.Ala". Lineage: Eukaryota; Metazoa; Chordata; Mammalia; Rodentia; Sciuridae. The record is from RNAcentral.